AUUGAACGCUGGCGGCAGGCUUAACACAUGCAAGUCGAGCGGGGUGAUGGUGCUUGCACUAUCCUUUAGCGGCGGACGGGUGAGUAAUGCUUAGGAAUCUGCCUAUUAGUGGGGGACAACAUCUCGCAAGGGCUGCUAAUACCGCAUACGUCCUACGGGGGAAAGCAGGGGAUCACUUGUGACUUUCAGCUGACAGAUGAGCCUAGGUCGGAUUAGCUAGUUGGUGGGGUAAAGGCCUACCAAGUCGACGAUCUGUAGCGGGUCUGAGAGGAUGAUCCGGCACACUGGGACUGAGACACGGCCAAGACUUCUACGGGAGGCAGCAGUGGGGAAUCUUGGACAAUGGGCGGAACCCUGAUCCAGCCAUGCCGCGUGUGUGAAGAAGGCCUUAUGGUUGUAAAGCACUUUAAGCGAGGAGGAGGCUCUUUUGGUUAAUACCCAGAAUGAGUGGACGUUACUCGCAGAAUAAGCACCGGCUAACUCUGUGCCAGCCGCCGCCGUAA
Molecule: ribosomal RNA, 503 nt
Filed under: uncultured bacterium
Lineage: Bacteria
Description: partial 16S ribosomal RNA
Rfam family: Bacterial small subunit ribosomal RNA
Source: RNAcentral